UACGUAGGGUGCAAGCGUUGUCCAGAAUUAUUGGGCGUAAAGAGCUCGUAGGCGGUUUGUCGCGUCUGCUGUGAAAACUCGGGGCUUAACCCCGGGCCUGCAGUGGGUACGGGCAGACUAGAGUGCGGUAGGGGAGACUGGAAUUCCUGGUGUAGCGGUGAAAUGCGCAGAUAUCAGGAGGAACACCGGUGGCGAAGGCGGGUCUCUGGGCCGUAACUGACGCUGAGGAGCGAAAGCGUGGGGAGCGAACAGG
Molecule: ribosomal RNA, 253 nt
Filed under: uncultured bacterium
Lineage: Bacteria
Description: partial 16S ribosomal RNA
Rfam family: Bacterial small subunit ribosomal RNA
Source: RNAcentral